AAAUCCUUCAAGCCACAUUAAAUCCUUACCAUAGCCAGUCUUCAACCCUUCAACAUCCUUCAAAUCCUUCAUAAGUCUUCUAAUUUCACAGUACAUCAACUUCAAACUGAACAUCAUUCCAUCUCUUUUAUCCAUUAUCUAUACAGCAUUUAAUAUCACAUUUUUUUCAGAUCUAACAGUAAAACAAAAAACCUAAACUCUUCAUAAUUCCCUGCAAUAAUUUAAGAAAUUUAGCGAUGAAGCAACAAAUCAUAUCAACUGUUGAAUGCCUACAAUUUUCUUAAAUUACCUUACCUCAUUCAACAACAAAUAGCAAGUCCAGGUGCUUCUAUUGUCUAACAGUUAUCACAAAUUCAUGCCAAAUACUUCAAUGUGCCAUACAAUGUGAUGCUUGAUGGAUAAAUAAUCAACUUUAGUAGCACUUAUUGUCCAAUCUAAAAUGGUCAUUUGCUUUUCUUUAUAAGUCCAAUUUAUAACUUCAAAUAAUCAGUUAUGAUUUCGAUUUAUAAUGAUUCUCAAAUAAACAGCCAUUGGAUAUUCAUUUACUUUUGAAUACACGGCAAAAUCCAUUACAUUAUCUUCGAUUAGACACAAUUCCAAGCUAACAAUUUGUGGCUACUACUUGAAGUCAUAAGAUGAAAAAUAAUACCUUUUUGCUUACUACAUCAGGCGAUCUAACAAAGAUGAUUCUGUCAACAGAGGACACCAAUGCAUUUCCUGUCCUACCAUCUUACCCAUCUUAGUGGCUUCCCUUUUUACCGAAAAAGUCCAACCAAAGUCCAAUCCACCCAAACUCACCAUUAUUAACUGUAAAUUUUGAAAGAAAAAUGACAUCAAAUUACUUGUUAGCAUAAUGACCAAAACUUGCAAAGGAAAACAUCAUACACCAACCAUUCCAUAGAAUCAAGCCUCUGUGUUUUAAGUAUUAUUAAUGUUCAAGCCAAAGAAAACAUAGAAGGAUAUCCAAGGAGCAUUUCUCUUUAUUCAAUAACCAUAAGUUCCUCUCUUCAUCAUCGCUUUCUUUUCCUGCAACCAAUAAAUCCCAUGUCAACUUGUAGCUAUAAAUCUUCAUUCCAGACAUAAAGAUGAACAAAAAGAAUUGAUAUUUAAUUAUGAACAAACAAAAGACCCUUUAUCGGUUUGAUAAAACGUUUGAAAACUGAUAACUCAAAUUGCAUUCAAAUAGACAUAUGUCCAACAUCCAAAGCUACAACAAAUGAAAAAAGAUCACAAAAAAACCAUUUACAGGGUUAGUAAAUAAAACCAGAUCGACAAAUCAACAUACAAACACACCCCAACACACACGGUUAAACUAACAUCAAUCUUAUAGAAGGAUAGAAUGACAAACCUUGAUGAUGUGGAAAUUCGUUUAGGGGUUUUAUGGAGAGAAAAAAAGGAUUGCGGGUGGAUUUGGUGUGCAAUCGAAAACAGGAAGAUCGUGUACCAAAUUUAUGGAUACUCCUUAACGCCAAUCAAUACAACAAAAAAAUACCUUUAGGUUUAGUACCCACGCUUUCUUUUCUUUCCUUAGUGUCC
Molecule: long non-coding RNA, 1536 nt
Filed under: Lactuca sativa (garden lettuce)
Lineage: Eukaryota; Viridiplantae; Streptophyta; Magnoliopsida; Asterales; Asteraceae
Description: long non-coding RNA (LSAT_LNC003550)
Source: RNAcentral